AUACCACCCAAACCUAUGUCUCUGGGCGGUUCUUAUCAGUUUUCUGUCUGAUGUAUCCUCUGCUUGAGAACUGUAUAUUAAAUGGACUUUUGGGUCUGGGUGAUGGAGUGGAAUUGGGGCUUACUCCAGCCACUCCAUGCAUCAGCCUGGUAUUGCAGUGUCUCCAGGAAUGGUGCACCUCCC
Hemicordylus capensis (graceful crag lizard) is the source of this 183-nucleotide small nuclear RNA. RefSeq annotates it as U2 spliceosomal RNA. The transcript has a single exon. The record is from RefSeq and is a predicted model, not a curated record. Lineage: Eukaryota; Metazoa; Chordata; Lepidosauria; Squamata; Cordylidae.